Salvia miltiorrhiza (redroot sage) is the source of this 884-nucleotide long non-coding RNA. RefSeq lists it as uncharacterized. The transcript has 2 exons. The record is from RefSeq and is a predicted model, not a curated record. NCBI's taxonomy places the organism in Eukaryota, Viridiplantae, Streptophyta, Magnoliopsida, Lamiales, Lamiaceae.
CCCCCUCUGGUGACAUGUGCAAUACUCUGUUAUGAACAUGUUAAGUGUGUGUGUGUUUGGUGCUCAUGCUUGUGAUGAUUGUGAGAGAGUUAGCAUAACUACAGUUCCCAAGUAACAUAAUUCAAGUUGCAUUUCAAGCCCUAGCACAUAUGCAGAAGGUGUGCAGCUUCCAAGACAUAAUUAUUAUUGCAUAAAUCCCAGCACAGAUCAUAUAAGUCAUGGUUUUGCCCAAGUAAAGAAGUAGAAUAUUUCCCAAAUCCCUAUCAUACUUACAUGUUCCCAUAAAAAUAUCCUGAAGACAUAAUUUUGCCUAGUAAUAAAGCAUAAUACUCCCCCAUCAUGCUCACAUGCUUCCACGAGAUAAAGUUCAGCGAAGUACCUGAGUUACCACUUACAAGUGGAUUAGCUUUUCGUGUUAUGGUGAUUACCAUACUUGUUCAAGUUUUUUCCCAAAGCUGUUUAUCAUGUGCUGUAAGAACUCUUGAACGAGAAUAUUAGUAAAAUAUGAGAGCCCCUUGAGACAGGGCUGCAAAGAGAAUUCGAACCCUAGAUUAUAUAAUCCAUUGCCACAACUUGAUUCCCAUAUUCAUAUACCGAUGAAUUCAUUCAAAUUUUUAAAUCCCAUCAAAGAUCAUAUAAACCAUGAUUUUGCCCAAUUGAUAAAAUAUCACACAUCCCAAUCAUGCUCCUCCCAUUGAUAGAGGUCAGCGAAAUACCUGAAUUACCACUUACUAGUGGGUUACCCUGUUUUACAUUAUGGUAUUUACCAUAAUUGUUCAAAUCAUUCCCCAAAUUUGUUUAUCCUGUGCUACAAAAAUUCUUAAGCACAUAUAUAUUAGUAAAAUAUGAGAGCCCUUAGAGAUAGGGCUGUAAACCUGUAAAUA